Molecule: ribosomal RNA, 253 nt
Filed under: uncultured bacterium
Lineage: Bacteria
Description: partial 16S ribosomal RNA
Rfam family: Bacterial small subunit ribosomal RNA
Source: RNAcentral
UACGUAGGUGGCAAGCGUUGUCCGGAUUUAUUGGGUUUAAAGGGUGCGUAGGCGGCUUUGUAAGUCAGUGGUGAAAUAUGGCAGCUCAACUGUCAAGGUGCCAUUGAUACUGCGGAGCUUGAGUACAGAUGAGGUAGGCGGAAUUGACGGUGUAGCGGUGAAAUGCUUAGAUAUCGUCAGGAACACCUAUAGCGAAGGCAGCUUACUAGGCUGUAACUGACGCUGAGGCACGAAAGUGUGGGGAUCAAACAGG